UUUCCGAUGAGGUUCAGUGAAAGUUUCUCUCUGCAACAUCUGCGAACAAAACAAUCUCUCCCUCUUCCCAUUUCUUUUCCCAUCCUGGGAGAGAGCGAGACAGAGAAAGAUACUGUUCACUUGCAGCAAUUAAAGUGAGUGGACUUGAAUCCAGGGAAGGAGCAUACUCUUCAGCGGUUACUUCAGGUAUUCGAUGGAGAUAAUGUACAGACUUGAAAUAAACAACAUAUCAAUAUCUGAGAGAAUGACUCUUUUGUGCUUGGAAAAAUCAUGAGCCUUUGACUGUCGAGGGAGAAAUGCUCUGUCUGUGGAAAAUGAUUAUUUGAAAAUUUCGAUAGUUCAGAUUAACUGAUCAGAGUGUGAGAAUGUGGAACGAUGGAGUAUCUAACUGCCAAACUGGAAAGAACAGACAGUCCCACGGGAGUGGAGGGAAGAAUGGGUGACAGAAAAUGUAUCAAGCAAAGCUAAAAGAAAGGGAAGGAAUGGCUUCACGAUUUGAUGGUGUUGAACUCAACAUUAAGUCCAGAAGAGACUGUUCCCUCUGGGACUUGAUCUGAACUGUCAACGUCCUUUCUCCCUCAGCACACCAACCCCUCGAACUGCAGCCCACCCACUCCUCCACAGAGAUAAUAAGGUGUAGAGCUGGAUAAACGCAGCAGGCCAAGCAGCAUCAGAGGAGCAGGAAGGCUGACGUUUCAGGCCUAGACCCUUCUUCAGAAAUCCAGCUCUGUUGAAGAGUUAUCUAGACUCGAUCCGUUGGUUUGCUUUCGUUCAAUGGAUGCUGACUGACCUGCUGUGAUCUCAACAAUCUCCAUUUGUGUUUUCAGUAUGGAUUUUAGCAUUUGCAGUAAUUUGCUCCUACUCUAAGUCUUUAUGACUGAUACCAGAAAACAUUUUGGCUAAACAGGGUGUCUCAGUAAAAUCAGUGAUGGCCCACAUGUCCUGUGUGUCUGGAUGGGGAUCCUGUUCCCACCACCCUCUGCCCAACUCUUUUCAUCGACCUUCAAGAGACAGUGUUCCAGUGGCUUCAUGGGGACUACAACUCCCACAAUCCCUGUCGCCGCGGGUCAUGUGGCAGGUUCUACGUGGAUGGGAAACUGGGAUUCGCACGUGUUCAGGGUUGAAUUUGGGGCGGGAACAUCUCUCGUUACAUGAUUGGUUUGUGAUCACAGCACCCUCUUUUUCUAUUGGCAGAAGGUUUCAACCGUCAUGUGGUCAAGGCAGCUGCUUCCCCACGCGAAUCCAUGUUCCUUUCCAAUUCCGUCAUAAUUCUGUAAUAUGACCAAUCGAAAGAGCUGGAGGACCGGAAGCAAGCUUGAUCUCCAGCCAAUCACUUCCCCUGUUGUCUGAGCGCGAACGCGGGACAAUCCAGUAAAGUUGCUGCUGCUCUUCUGUGAAUGAAGAUUGAGCUUCACCCAGACUGAAACUUCCUCCUCUGUCCAUCAUCUGUGAGGAAACAAUUUUUCCCAAUUUUUUUUUUUUAAAUUCUGAUGUGAAAUUAUUUACUUGCAGCAACUGACAGGAAAUGAAGUGAACCCAGGGAGGGAGUCCAGGAAAAGAAAUGAUGAUCACUUAGAUUUGGCUGUUCUGAAUUUUUCACCGAAUUUCUAGUCUAAUAGUGAUGAAAUUUUAUAACUCUUUUUACGUUAUGUUAAAAAGGGAAGAUUUAAACAGCAAUCUCAAAAUGAUCAUCACGUGACGUCACUAAAAUAGCUGGUACUUGAAUAUCAUUGGCUUGAAACAAUAGAUCCAGAAUAUCUGUCCUGGCUGCUUCAAAAUAUUUGAAACAUCAGUUUGUCUGGAAAAGUACUGACACAUGCACACCUAAGUGAGAGUUCUCUAGUGAACUGAUAUACCUUCAUCCAAUCUCCCAGCCUAAAAGAACAUUGCACCGUUCACAGUAGGAAGAGACCAUACCUGUGUUUCUGGGUGGACAAGGAUUCAGAUGAUUGUAAAACUUACAGGGACACAAAGCCGCACAUAACAUGGAGAAACCAUGGAAAUGUGAGGAUUGUGGGAAAGGAUUUCAUUCCUUGUCGACGCUGGAGUUUCAUCAACAUGGUCACAGCAGGGAGAGGUUGUUCACCUGUUCUGAGUAUGGGAACGGAUUCCCUGAUUCAUCUGCUCUGCAGAAACACCAGCGUGCUGCCACUGGAGAGAGGCUAUUCACCUGUUCAUUGUGUAGGAAGGAAUUCCAUGAAUAUUUCACCCUGUUGAAACAUCAGCGAGUUCACGCAGGGAAGAGGCCAUCUACGUGUUUGGAGUUUGGGAAAGUAUUCACUCAGUUAUCCAAUCUUAGUGCAAAACAGCAAGUUCACAUUGCAGAGAGGCCAUUUAUAUGCUCUGAUUGUGGAAAAGAAUUCGCUGAGACGUCAGCGAAUCCCACACGGGUGAGGCCAUUCAAAUGUUCCAAGUGUGGGAAGCGGUUCAGAGAUUCAUCUACGCUGCAGAAACACCACUAGGUUCAUACUGGGGAGAAGCCCUUCAUCUGUUCUGAAUUCUUUCCCACAUUCACUCGGUUAUCCAGUCUGUGGAAGAAUAAGAACGUUCACAAAUGAUCGUAGGACUUGGAUCUGCAGUUAAUCUGCAACAUUUGAGCUGCUAGACAGCACGUUUCAAACCCACAAUGUUCACCACCUAGAAUAACUAGUGCAGCAGUUACAUGGGACCAUUACAACCUGCAUGCUCCCCUCCAUAUCACACAUCAUUCUCAUUAACAGGAUGUUAGAAAGGGAAGAUUUGCAGACAGAAAUCUCAAAAUGACCAUCACGUGAAGCUGUAAUGGAGUCACUGAAAUCACUGGGAUUUGAAUAUCAUGCUCCUCCACAUUGGCUGUUCUUUCACUGUCAAUGAGUCAAAAUCCUGGAACUCUACCCUAACAGCAUUGUGGGUGAUCCUACAACACAAGGACUGCAAGUCCCAGAAAGCAACUCACCACCACUUUCUGAAGGAGGAUGACUGGGAUGGGCAACAAGUGCUGACCUAGACAUUGAUACCUGUACAUCAUAAAUUGAUUUUAAAAAUGAGGGAAAUCACAUCCAGGACAGAGCUGUAUUCAUUUGGACAGUGGGUGAAGUGGGAGGGCCGGAAGGUUUCCAUCUGCUGGACUAGCCGCUCUCACCACUUUGCUUCCAGUGAGGAUGAUGCUCUUUGAGCCUGGGACUGCACAUUUACUCUGAAACUACCCCUAAAACCUGUUGAAGUACAUUUACUUUAUCCUGAAUUGUAAGUAACGUUUACCUUACUCCUCCAAUUAGACCAAAAAUAAAUGUUUGUCUUUAUUC
Molecule: long non-coding RNA, 3284 nt
Organism: Rhincodon typus (whale shark)
Lineage: Eukaryota; Metazoa; Chordata; Chondrichthyes; Orectolobiformes; Rhincodontidae
Exons: 2
Source: RefSeq, a predicted model, not a curated record